UAUAUAAAAUUGAAAAGAAAAAAAUAAAAAUACCUUGUUAUAAAAUAAUAAGCAAUUUUUUUUAAAAAAAAAUAACUAACAAUUUUUUAUGUAAUUACCAUUUGAAAAAAACAUCUACUACUAAGCGAAUAAUAUAAAUAUCGUACAAAAAUAUAAUAAUGAAUAAAAUAAUUAUACUAUAAAAAAAUCUAUCAUCCCUCAUACUUUUCCAUAUAGAUAAUAAAAAAAAAAAGGGAUUUUUUCUAUAAUAAACUGAAAAUGAAAAAAAUUUACAUUUAUGACCUACAUAGAGAAAAUAAACAAAAAUAGAAACUAAAAGUUGUUAUUUACAAAAAUACCUGCCAAAAAAAAACAGAGGGGAUCCUCCUUCUUCGUGACCCAGCUGUAGAACCCCAACAACCAUUUUCAACCAUUUUCAUUCCAAAACUAGGAAAAUCAUAUCUAAAAAAAUGUAGAUCUCAAAGAAAAACUACUCAGAUCCCGAAAAUCCAAAUACAAAAAGGGAUAAAAAAUUAUCCAACCUCCAUUGUUGUACAAAAAAAAAAAAAACUCAAAAACAACAUUCAGUCAAAAGCCCAACGUGUUCAGAGGAGAAGAAUGAAGCUUCUAAAGACAUAAAUAAAUAACAUAAAAGAAAUACAACUAAAAAACUACAGCAAUAGAUGAACAGGGACCGUGACAUCAUAAUCAACCAUACAACAACCAUACAACAACCAGAAAACAACAAAGAAAAAACUACAGCAAUAGAUGAAUAUAAAAACAACUAAAAAAAAACUCAAUAACAACACAAAAAUAACAUCAAUAAAAAUACAUAAAAGAAAUACAACAACCAAAGAAAUACAUAAAAACUCCAUAGAUGAAUACAAACAAUUGUAUCAGUUCAAGACGAUACAUUUUUUCUAGGAACAGGGACCGUGACAUCAUAAUCAACCAUACAACAACCAGAAAACAACAAAGAAAAAACUACAGCAAUAGAUGAAUAUAAAAACAACUAAAAAAAAACCCACUUCAAAUUCUCAAAACAGUCUCCAAAGAAGGUUUUAGUGUAUUAAUCCAAAGACCUCCUUCUUCUCCUUCUUCUUCUCCUUUCGAAUUUUGGUUUGAUGUAGAAAUAAAGAGAGACACAACCCACUACUCUCUAUGUUGGUUUGAACCGAAUUUGAGAGAUAUAGAGUAAGCUCCAUAGCUCCGUGGAAAGAGAGGUGUUUUUGUGACUAAGGUGGAGUUGGAUUUUGGUUUUUUUAGAUGGUGAGCUCUGGAGAACAAAGGAAAGAGAAACAGAGAAAAAAAAAAAAAAAAAAAAGAAGAAGAAUAUGGCAGAUAUGGAGGAGGUGGAGUGUAAGAAUGGAUAAAUGAAAAAUUUCAAAAAAAAAAAAAUAAGAAAGGAGUUAUGAGGUGGC
This is a long non-coding RNA of Cannabis sativa, 1400 nucleotides long. RefSeq lists it as uncharacterized. NCBI's taxonomy places the organism in Eukaryota, Viridiplantae, Streptophyta, Magnoliopsida, Rosales, Cannabaceae. The record is from RefSeq and is a predicted model, not a curated record. The transcript is spliced from 2 exons.